This 98-nucleotide small nuclear RNA is filed under the name Zalophus californianus (California sea lion). The record is from RNAcentral. Lineage: Eukaryota; Metazoa; Chordata; Mammalia; Carnivora; Otariidae.
UUGUUUCAGUAGCACAUAUACUAAAACUGGAAUGAAACAGAGAAACAUGGGCCCUGAGCAAGAAUGACAUGCAAAUUCAUGAAGUGUUCUAUACUAAG